ACAGACAGACUAGAACAACCUGAUUUUAAGUUGAGGCUGUGGAAUGUAUGGAGAUCUCUCUGCCAGGAGUCCUCAAGGAUACCACCACCAGAGCCAGCCCAGGUAAGAGCAGAAAAUGACCGCAUUAAGAUGUCAUAGACAAUGGGUUCAAAGGGUGGAGGUCACAAAGGGGAUCACAGCCACCCUGUGUACUGGCCCUCACUUGUGUCAGAGUUGCUUGUCACACGCAUGCUUAGCUGGCCUGGAAGUGAGGGACGAAGGAGCUUUCCGUGAAUUCUUUUAAAAUUUAACCACAGCGUUUCCAUGAAAGUCCAGGGAGGUGCUUACUGGGAAGGCAGUUUGCCGAAAUGGGCUCCUCCAUCCUUGAAGGUCAUAGAAGGAGUGUGGCUUUUAUUCUGAAGUCAAGGGGACAGACACAGCCCAUGGACAGACCCAGUGGUAUUGCACACACAGGCUCUGGAGAAGACCUAUCGGCCAAGCUCAGCUUUGCUCACCGAGGGGCAGGAGUGAAGGGGCAGCUCCUGGUGGCUCGGAGGGUCCAGUAUUCAUCACUUGCAGCUCUGCCUAGAAACACAUGACCAAGCAUGACCCAAAGCAGGAGGGUAGGAAGGGCAUUAACCCCACCUGAACGGGGCUCACCCUUCUGACCUCAUCUAACCACAUCAGCCCCAUAGACCGUCAUACUGGAGGAGAGGGGCUUCAACACGUGAAUUUUGAAGGAUCACAAGUCAGACUACCACAGCCCCCAAAGUUCUUUCCCUUGGAGAAACUCUGGGCCAAAAACCGUGUCUGACACAGAACCUGGAAAAGUGCAUUGGCAUUCCUCCAUGUAUCGAUACAGUAGCCCCAAUAACAGACACCCUCAGCAAUGAUUGAACCCCUGAACUUGCUUCUCCUCAGGUGACCCAGUGAGAGCCUAUAGACUCCCGUAAUACCCAGUGCUGAAAUUGUUCCUGUGUGAUCCAUUAUCGUCCCACCCUCCCUUCUUUGGCUGGAGACUAUUGCUAUGUAGCCCAGGUUGGCCAGGGACUCUCCGACUCCCUGCUUCAGCUUCCCAAGUCCUGGGGUGACAGGCACACACCACUAUGCCUGGCAUCCUAGUGCCAUCUUGGGUCUCUUCAAGGGGAGCAACGAAAAGCUGAGCCAGCCAGGAGCUGAGGAUCCGGAAUUGAGGUCCUCCUGGGGCAGGUUCCUCUCUGUCACCGGACCCCAGGGGCGUUUUAAGCUCUAUGAGUAUGCUCAGGAGACACCGUGAAAUAUAAUAAAAAUAAAAAGUGCUUCAACCGAACAAUACAGCAAAGCAGGAGACAAGUGCCCUGGUCAACACCAGAGCGCCACCAGCCUCCUCCUGCCUGGUGAGGCCCAGCGAGUGGGGAGAUCUCAGAGGAGAGGAGUUGCCUCUCCACACACCCUGGCCACGCCCUCCACAGUUUCUUUAUCUCUCCUCUUGCCUCAGUUGGAUCUUUCAGGGACCUACGAGAACAACACUUUACUUCAGGACAAGCUGGCGUUGUGUCCCAGUAAGGAGAGUUCUAUGAACCAGGCCAUGCCCAGAUUAACGUCUGUAUUCCAAGCAGCCGUGAUCUGUGUCCCCAGCUGACUGCCUUGGGGCCUGGGGAAGGGAACUUCUAAUUCUGAAUAAAUACCUCUGACUU
Non-coding RNA from Rattus norvegicus (Norway rat), 1655 nucleotides. The record is from RefSeq and is a predicted model, not a curated record. NCBI's taxonomy places the organism in Eukaryota, Metazoa, Chordata, Mammalia, Rodentia, Muridae.